RNAcentral lists this transfer RNA (75 nucleotides) under Candidatus Pacearchaeota archaeon. RNAcentral describes it as "tRNA-Ile". It matches the Rfam family "tRNA". From Rfam's summary of the family: Transfer RNA (tRNA) molecules are approximately 80 nucleotides in length. Their secondary structure includes four short double-helical elements and three loops (D, anti-codon, and T loops). Further hydrogen bonds mediate the characteristic L-shaped molecular structure. tRNAs have two regions of fundamental functional importance: the anti-codon, which is responsible for specific mRNA codon recognition, and the 3' end, to which the tRNAs corresponding amino acid is attached (by aminoacyl-tRNA synthetases). tRNAs cope with the degeneracy of the genetic code in two manners: having more than one tRNA (with a specific anti-codon) for a particular amino acid; and 'wobble' base-pairing, i.e. permitting non-standard base-pairing at the 3rd anti-codon position. Lineage: Archaea; Nanobdellati. The record is from RNAcentral.
GAGGCUGUAGCUCAGCACGGUUAGAGCACUGCUCUGAUAAGGCAGGGGUCCCAGGUUCAAAUCCUGGCAGCCUCA